Molecule: ribosomal RNA, 468 nt
Filed under: uncultured bacterium
Lineage: Bacteria
Description: partial 16S ribosomal RNA
Rfam family: Bacterial small subunit ribosomal RNA
Source: RNAcentral
GACGAACGCUGGCGGCGUGCUUAACACAUGCAAGUCGAACGGAAAGGCCCUGCUUUUGUGGGGUGCCCGAGUGGCGAACGGGUGAGUAACACGUGAGUAACCUGCCCUUGACUUUGGGAUAACUUCAGGAAACUGGGGUUAAUACCGGAUAGGAGCUCCUGCUGCAUUGUGGGGGUUGGAAAGUUGCGGCGGUUGGGGAUGGAUUCGCGGCUUAUCAGCUUGUUGGUGGGGUAGUGGCUUACCCAGGCUUUGACCGGUCGCCGGCCUGUGAGGGGGACCGGCCACAUGGGGACUGAGAGACGGCCCAGACUCCUACAGGAGACAGCGGGCGGGAAUAUGGCACAAUGAGAGGACGCCUGUGGCAGCAACGCCGCGUGCGGGAUGACGGCCUGCGGGUUGUAAACAGCUUCCGCCUGUGACGAAGCGGGAGUGACGGUACUGGGUAAAGAAGCACCGGCUAACUACGUG